This 468-nucleotide ribosomal RNA is filed under the name uncultured bacterium. RNAcentral describes it as "partial 16S ribosomal RNA". It matches the Rfam family "Bacterial small subunit ribosomal RNA", at positions 28 to 507 of the family's 1533-position model. The record is from RNAcentral.
GACGAACGCUGGCGGCGUGCUUAACACAUGCAAGUCGAACGGAAAGACCCUGCUUUUGUGUGGUGCUCGAGUGGCGAACGGGUGAGUAACACGUGAGUAACCUGCCCUUGACUUUGGGAUAACUUCAGGAAACUGGGUCUAAUACCGGAUAGGAGCUCCUGCUGCAUGGUGGGGGUUGGAAAGUUUCGGCGGUUGGGGAUGGACUCGCGGCUUAUCAGCUUGUUGGUGGGGUAGUGGCUUACCAAGGCUUUGACGGGUAGCCGGCCUGAGAGGGUGACCGGCCACAUUGGGACUGAGAUACGGCCCAGACUCCUACGGGAGGCAGCAGUGGGGAAUAUUGCACAAUGGGCGGAAGCCUGAUGCAGCAACGCCGCGUGCGGGAUGACGGCCUUCGGGUUGUAAACCGCCUUCGCCUGUGACGAAGCGUGAGUGACGGUAAUGGGUAAAGAAGCACCGGCUAACUACGUG